Molecule: ribosomal RNA, 422 nt
Filed under: uncultured delta proteobacterium
Lineage: Bacteria; Deltaproteobacteria
Also listed under: 1 other name
Description: bacterial SSU rRNA
Rfam family: Bacterial small subunit ribosomal RNA
Source: RNAcentral
AACGCGAAGAACCUUACCGGGGCUUGACAUCCUGCGCUAUCCUAGGAGACUAGGUUUCCGGGCAACCGGACGCAGAGACAGGUGCUGCAUGGCUGUCGUCAGCUCGUGCCGUGAGGUGUUGGGUUAAGUCCCGCAACGAGCGCAACCCUUGCCGCGUGUUGGUCGCAAGAUCUCUCACGCGGGACCGCCGGUGACAAGCCGGAGGAAGGUGGGGAUGACGUCAAGUCAGCAUGGCCCUUACGUCCCGGGCUACACACGUGCUACAAUGGAAGGGACAACGAGUCGCGAACCCGCGAGGGCAAGCUAAUCUCACAAACCCUUUCUCAGUUCGGAUUGAAGGCUGCAACUCGCCUUCAUGAAGUCGGAAUCGCUAGUAACCGUAGAUCAGCUACGCUGCGGUGAAUACGUUCCCGGGCCUUGUA